Long non-coding RNA from Dermacentor silvarum, 328 nucleotides. RefSeq lists it as uncharacterized. The record is from RefSeq and is a predicted model, not a curated record. NCBI's taxonomy places the organism in Eukaryota, Metazoa, Arthropoda, Arachnida, Ixodida, Ixodidae. The transcript is spliced from 3 exons.
CUUGCGAGACAAAGUUUAAAAACCUAAAAGACACCUUUACAAAACUGAAAACCAAAAUCAAGGACAAAAGCAAAAGUGGGGCCGGAGCCAAGGACAUUCCCUCCGUUAAGUGGAAGCAUUUUGAGGCGAUGCUGCCAAUAAUGGAGAAAGUGUACGAGGAGCCCAUCAUAUGCAGCAACAUCACUUUUCAGCAGACCAGAGGGGCAGAAUGUCACUCUGAGGAACCUGCCACAAGCAAAGACAACGUCGAAGACGAGUUUUUGUGGAACGACAUCUUUGAAGAUGAUGCAGUGGACCUGGAGAGGUGUGGCAGCAGCUCAUCCGAGAG